UACGUAGGGGGCAAGCGUUGUCCGGAUUUAUUGGGCGUAAAGAGCGUGUAGGCGGCUAGGUAGGUCUGUUGUGAAAACUCGAGGCUCAACCUCGAGACGCCGAUGGAAACCAUCUGGCUAGAGUCCGGAAGAGGAGAGUGGAAUUCCUGGUGUAGCGGUGAAAUGCGCAGAUAUCAGGAAGAACACCCGUGGCUAAGGCGGCUCUCUAGUACGGUACUGACGCUGAGACGCGAAAGCGUGGGGAGCGAACAGG
Molecule: ribosomal RNA, 253 nt
Filed under: uncultured bacterium
Lineage: Bacteria
Description: partial 16S ribosomal RNA
Rfam family: Bacterial small subunit ribosomal RNA
Source: RNAcentral